Nannospalax galili (Upper Galilee mountains blind mole rat) is the source of this 1171-nucleotide long non-coding RNA. RefSeq lists it as uncharacterized. The record is from RefSeq and is a predicted model, not a curated record. Lineage: Eukaryota; Metazoa; Chordata; Mammalia; Rodentia; Spalacidae. The transcript is spliced from 3 exons.
CUGAACCACAGCAUGAUUGAGAAAUCAGGUUUCCAUUCAUAGAAGAGAAGCGCCCUACAGAUAGAAUUCAAUGUCAAUUGUGUGAAGACUUGAGGCAUUGUGCAGUGAAAGAAUUGAACUGUUUACAAGUUAGCGUGAAAUGCAAUUCAGCAGGAGCCUGCAGGGGUCACUCAGCGUCCAGCACAGAGCAGCGCCUACAGGGGGUGCCAUUAGCUAGGACUCUGAAGAUGGAACUCCCUGCUGGAAAGCUGGUGGCAAAAGAGAGACUUUGGAGUAAACACAAGAUUUGGAACAAAAAGAAGAAACAUCUUGUCAGUCUUCAAUGUGGAAAUCUUUGAACCUCAAACUCUUGACAUUCCCACCCAGCACUAAAGAUCAAAUACUUCAAUUUUCUUGAGGGUGUUUCUUAGAAAAGCAACAAAAUUUGUUAUUAAGAAAAGUAUAAGUUGGAUUUGUUAGAAUAUAGGACGUAAAGGAAGCCAUUUAGAGCAGCCAAUUGCUAUAAUUUAUGAAUUUUACUGUUUGUAAAUGUGUCAACAAAAGGAACCUUUUGCUCCUGUCACACAAGAACCACGUCCCUUGUACUCACUUUGUAUUUAGGGAAGGAAAAAAUCACCAUAGAUUCUAGAGGCAUUUGUUGGUAUGUGAAGCAGGUAUGCAAAUUAACAGUAGACAAGAAGGCCAUCUAGAUGAAUGUGUCUAAGAAAAUAUGGCCUUGUCUGGUCCACCAAGGAGGCAGGACCAAGUAGCUUUCAACAGUAUCUGAAACCUCCUCUUCAAGUACAGAGCUGAGUCUGCAGAAUGAGGACUACACUUGCAAUGCACAGUAAGUUCCUUUUCAGCACUGUAAAUAAGUAGAGUUCAAAACGAGUAUACAAGGGACUCUGGUUCUUUUGUAAGUUCAAGAGAGUUUUACUAUAUCAUGGUGACUGCAGAGUUCAAAACAGCAUAUUAUGUACUUGAAAAAGGCUGCCGAAGAUUUAUUUAUUUAUUCAUUUAGUUCUGUAGACACAGGGUCUCACUCUAUAUAGCCCAGGCUGAGUUGUAGCUCGCUUUGUAACCCAGUCUGGUCCUAAACUCACAGCAGUCCUCCUGUGUGGGAGACAGGCUUGAGCCUAGAGUGAAAGUCUUAAUGACAGUCACACAGCAGGCCCGAGGCAACAGGGGACUA